This 1400-nucleotide long non-coding RNA is filed under the name Fragaria vesca (wild strawberry). Its description in RNAcentral is "long non-coding RNA (FVES_LNC003439)". Lineage: Eukaryota; Viridiplantae; Streptophyta; Magnoliopsida; Rosales; Rosaceae. The record is from RNAcentral.
AAUAAUCAGACUGCAUUCUCUAUUCUACCACAUUUUGAGUACGACUCUAUGAGUGAAGCUCCAACAAAGAUAUUAUCCAUGAAACCAGUUUGAAUCGCAUGAGCAUGGAGGCAAAGAGCUUGUUGAAGAUUCCCAAAUUCUGAACAUUCCCAACCCCCAUCUCCAUCUCCAUCAUUCCCAAACCCAACGAGGUAUUCAUGAGAUGCAUCAUGGAAUACAGUUUCUCUUUGUAAAAGCAUCACAUCGAUGAGUAAUAAAACGCACACACAAAGAGUAGUAUUAAUUGCACAUAAGAUCAGGGUACGCAGUUUAAAAAAAAAAAAAAAAUCCUUACAAUUACACAUAAAAUCUAGAUAUAUUGAUCAGCUUUCGUGGUGUACUAAUCAAUUGCAUGUUUUCAAGUUUUUGUAGACCCAAACCAAUGUCCCAGUGAGGCUUUGUUCUUGCCAAUUAACAAGACCAAGGCAGACAUUGACAUGAAAAAGAAACAACACAUGGUGCCCUUAGAAUACGGCUGAAUCUUGUUUGGAUCGACACUAGCCCUCUUUGUCUUUAUAGAACUGUUUUGUUCCUCCGAGUCACUUGCUCUUUCAGUAAUUCCAUGAAUAGUCAACUUAGUCUCAACUACGCAAGUAUCAAAACACAAAAUCCGACUUGCAUAAUCCAACGUAGUGAAAUUCCAACCAUAACCUAGCCCGCCAAUAGUGUAACACCACUUGACUGCAAAAGCGCAAAUGGGACAUGUAAUUAGAGGAUUGAAAUAAAGAUGAAGAAAUCGAAUAUAGAUACUUAACAUGCAAUUAUGUUCAGUAGUUUUGUUAAUAGUUACAAAACUAGCUAGCUAAUAUAUACCUGGAUCCGUUCGGCUCCAGUAGAGGCCACUACACAAUGGAUGUACAAUGGGUAUGGAAAGCUCUGCAAAUACUUUAGUGGCAGGAGGAGUUGCUUUUCGAUCAACCAAUUGCAAGUAAAUACCAAUAUGUCUGUUUUGUUGGUCAACUCCCUUGGGAUAGAGUUGUAUAAUCCUGCAUGCAUGCAACAAUACCAAGAUGAACAAUGUAUCCUACAUUCCUAGCUACUCAAAAGUCUAGCAAAUAUAAUGAUAACAGACUUAACUAUGUAUAUGUCGCUAGUAAGGCUUAAUUAGCAUACCAUUUUUGAUCUUCAACAGUGAAUGGUUCUGAGGGGUAGUAUGGAUCAGUUAAACUUGAAAAAUUCCUAAGCUUCCAAAUAUACUUGUACGUUUUGGGACUUUUUACCCUCGAUAUACAUUCUCCCAUUCCUCUUCUUGUCUCUUUACAAACAAAGACCUCGGCUCCAAAGACGCACUUGUCAUCAACGAGGUAUCCAUGAGAUGCAUCAUGGAAUUCAUCUAGAGGCACUAGUUUAUCAAAACCCAC